CCUCCUUUUCUUGGUGGGAACUGGGCAUAUGGUCCCCCUCCGGGUUAUGUGCAGAGGCAGAGGGAAAGGCCUCCCGCCCCCUCAGGGUCACGUCGCUGGUGGCUUUCUAUUUGCUGGUUCUAUCUUCAAGUGCUGAGACACUG
Otolemur garnettii (small-eared galago) is the source of this 143-nucleotide small nucleolar RNA. The record is from Ensembl. Lineage: Eukaryota; Metazoa; Chordata; Mammalia; Primates; Galagidae.